RNAcentral lists this ribosomal RNA (354 nucleotides) under uncultured bacterium. RNAcentral describes it as "bacterial SSU rRNA". It matches the Rfam family "Bacterial small subunit ribosomal RNA", at positions 917 to 1291 of the family's 1533-position model. The record is from RNAcentral.
GGACCCGCACAAGUAGUGGAGCAUGUGGUUUAAUUCGAAGAUACGCGCAGAACCUUACCAACACUUGACAUGUUCGUCGCGACUUUAAGAGAUUAAAGUUUUCGGUUCGGCCGGACGAAACACAGGUGCUGCAUGGCUGUCGUCAGCUCGUGUCGUGAGAUGUUGGUUAAGUCCCGCAACGAGCGCAACCCUUACUUUUAGUUGCCAUCAUUUAGUUGGGCACUCUGAAAGAACUGCCAGUGAUAAGCUGGAGGAAGGUGGGGAUGACGUCAAGUCCUCAUGGCCCUUACGUGUUGGGCUACACACGUGCUACAAUGGUAGUGACAAUGGGUUAAUCCCAAAAAGCUAUCUCAG